This 253-nucleotide ribosomal RNA is filed under the name uncultured bacterium. Its description in RNAcentral is "partial 16S ribosomal RNA". It matches the Rfam family "Bacterial small subunit ribosomal RNA", at positions 524 to 776 of the family's 1533-position model. The record is from RNAcentral.
UACGGAGGAUCCAAGCGUUAUCCGGAUUUAUUGGGUUUAAAGGGUGCGUAGGUGGGAAAGUAAGUCAGAGGUGAAAGCUAGCAGCUUAACUGUUAAAUUGCCUUUGAUACUGCUUUUCUUGAGUCUAGUUGGCGUUGGCGGAAUGUGACAUGUAGCGGUGAAAUGCGUAGAUAUGUCACAGAACACCGAUCGCGAAGGCAGCUAACGAAGCUAGUACUGACACUGAUGCACGAAAACGUGGGGAGCAAACAGG